RNAcentral lists this ribosomal RNA (253 nucleotides) under uncultured bacterium. RNAcentral describes it as "partial 16S ribosomal RNA". It matches the Rfam family "Bacterial small subunit ribosomal RNA", at positions 524 to 776 of the family's 1533-position model. The record is from RNAcentral.
UACGUAGGGGGCAAGCGUUGUCCGGAAUCAUUGGGCGUAAAGAGCGUGUAGGCGGCCAGAUAAGUCCGCUGUGAAAUCUCGAGGCUCAACUUCGAGCUGUCGGUGGAAACUGUCUGGCUAGAGUCCGGAAGAGGAGAAUGGAAUUCCUGGUGUAGCGGUGAAAUGCGCAGAUAUCAGGAGGAACACCGGUGGCGAAGGCGGGUCUCUGGGCCUGUCCUGACGCUCAGGCGCGAAAGCUAGGGGAGCAAACAGG